UACGGAGGGUGCAAGCGUUAAUCGGAAUUACUGGGCGUAAAGCGUGCGUAGGCGGAAUUUUAAGUCUGAUGUGAAAUCCCCGGGCUUAACCUGGGAACUGCAUUGGAUACUGGGAUUCUAGAGUAUGGUAGAGGGUGGCGGAAUUUCUGGUGUAGCGGUGAAAUGCGUAGAUAUCAGAAAGAACACCAAUGGCGAAGGCAGCCACCUGGGCCAAUACUGACGCUGAGGUACGAAAGCGUGGGGAGCAAACAGGAUUAGAUACCCUGGUAGUCCACGCCCUAAACGAUGUCUACUUGUCGUCGGGAGGGCUAAACCUUUCGGUGACGGAGCUAACGCAUUAAGUAGACCGCCUGGGGAGUACGGCCGCAAGGUUGAA
This 376-nucleotide ribosomal RNA is filed under the name uncultured bacterium. RNAcentral's name for it is "bacterial SSU rRNA". It matches the Rfam family "Bacterial small subunit ribosomal RNA", at positions 524 to 898 of the family's 1533-position model. The record is from RNAcentral.